AAUCAACGCUGGCGGCGUGCCUCAGACAUGCAAGUCGAACGAUUAAGACUCUCUUCGGAGAGUGUAUAAAGUGGCGCACGGGUGAGUAACACGUAGGUAAUGUACCGAAGGGUGGGGAAUAACUUAGGGAAACUUAAGCUAAUACCGCAUAAUGCAGCGGCUCGACAUCGAGACAGUUGUUAAAGGAGCAAUCCGCCUUUUGAGCAGCCUGCGGCAGAUUAGCUAGUUGGUAAGGUAAUGGCUUACCAAGGCUACGAUCUGUAACCGACCUGAGAGGGUGGUCGGUCACACUGACACUGAAUAACGGGUCAGACUCCUACGGGAGGCAGCAGUCGGGAAUUUUGGGCAAUGGGCGAAAGCCUGACCCAGCAACGCCGCGUGAAGGAUGAAGUAUUCGGUAUGUAAACUUCGUAAGAAUAGGAAGAAUAAAAUGACGGUACUAUUUGUAAGGUCCGGCUAACUACGUAGCCAGCAGCCGCGGUAAU
RNAcentral lists this ribosomal RNA (485 nucleotides) under uncultured bacterium. RNAcentral describes it as "bacterial SSU rRNA". It matches the Rfam family "Bacterial small subunit ribosomal RNA", at positions 32 to 524 of the family's 1533-position model. The record is from RNAcentral.